Molecule: small nucleolar RNA, 91 nt
Organism: Mercurialis annua (annual mercury)
Lineage: Eukaryota; Viridiplantae; Streptophyta; Magnoliopsida; Malpighiales; Euphorbiaceae
Product: small nucleolar RNA SNORD24
Exons: 1
Source: RefSeq, a predicted model, not a curated record
GGCCAGUGAUGCGAGUACAUAUUUGCUACUCUUGAUGGUUCUUUUAUAGAACCCAGUUGAUGACAUCUUAUCCACCAAGAUCUCUGAGGCC